RNAcentral lists this long non-coding RNA (406 nucleotides) under Solanum tuberosum (potato). RNAcentral's name for it is "long non-coding RNA (STUB_LNC008732)". Lineage: Eukaryota; Viridiplantae; Streptophyta; Magnoliopsida; Solanales; Solanaceae. The record is from RNAcentral.
UUUUUUCAAAACAUUAGAUUCUGUAUCGAGAGAGUAGUAUGAGAUAAGGGGUAUUUCCGAUUUUCUCUUAUCUAUCGGGAAUUCAGUUCAGCGUCACAAACUUAUUUGUUUUCAUGCCGGAGAGUUCUUAACAAUAUUUAUGUUAUGAAAGAGUACGAAAAAAAAAUAUUUUUUCCUUAUUUGAUCGGAUUAAAAAGAAACUUUGGGAUUGCUGAAUCACAGACAAAAAAAAUAAAAAAUAAACAUAUAAAGCAACGGAGCCAUCAUAGUAUUUUUGAACUCCUCCGAAAGGAAGGAUGGCAAUUUGAUUAUUUACCCAUCUGAGUCUGAUAGAUUCUAUUUUCUCUUUCUUCAAUCAAAAAAAAAAAAAAAAAAUACUACUACUAGAUUUCUAAUGUCGAUUCUA